AGAUCAGAAUGUUGGUCGUGCCUUGGUACGUACUGGCAUUAUUGGUUUCUCCCUUCUGACGAACCGUGAUGUCAUUAAUUUGGUGUCAUGGGGAAUCAGGACUGUUACUUUGAAAAGAUUAGAGUGUUUAAAGCAGGCUCACGCUUGAAUACAUUAGCAUGGAAUAAUGAAAUAGGACGUUUGAUUCCAUUUUGUCGGUUUCUAGGAUCGACGUA
This 215-nucleotide ribosomal RNA is filed under the name Campeiostachys nutans. RNAcentral's name for it is "Elymus nutans partial small subunit ribosomal RNA". The stretch from base 38 to 215 matches the Rfam family "Eukaryotic small subunit ribosomal RNA", at positions 685 to 864 of the family's 1831-position model. The record is from RNAcentral. Lineage: Eukaryota; Viridiplantae; Streptophyta; Magnoliopsida; Poales; Poaceae.